UACGUAGGGUGCGAGCGUUAAUCGGAAUUACUGGGCGUAAAGCGUGCGCAGGCGGCCAUUUAAGUCGGAUGUGAAAGCCCCGGGCUUAACCUGGGAACGGCAUCCGAUACUGGGUGGCUUGAGUGUGUCAGAGGGAGGUGGAAUUCCACGUGUAGCAGUGAAAUGCGUAGAGAUGUGGAGGAACACCGAUGGCGAAGGCAGCCUCCUGGGAUAACACUGACGCUCAUGCACGAAAGCGUGGGGAGCAAACAGG
This 253-nucleotide ribosomal RNA is filed under the name uncultured bacterium. RNAcentral's name for it is "partial 16S ribosomal RNA". It matches the Rfam family "Bacterial small subunit ribosomal RNA", at positions 524 to 776 of the family's 1533-position model. The record is from RNAcentral.